AAUUUUGGACAAUGGGGGAAACCCUGAUCCAGCAAUGCGGCGUGCAGGAUGAAGGCCUUCGGGUUGUAAACUGCUGUUGUACGGAACGACACGUCUUGGGUUAAUACCCUGGGAUCAUGACGGUACCUGCAGAAUACGCACCGGCUAACUACGUCUGAGUAGCCGCGGUAAUACGUAGUGUGCAACCGUUAAUCGGAAUUUCUGGGCGUAAAGCGUGCGCAGGCGGUUGUGUAAGACAGUGGUGAAAUCCCCGGGCUCAACCUGGGAACUGCCAUUGUGACUGCAAGGCUGGAGUGCGGCAGAGGUGGAUGGAAUUCCGCGUGUAGCAGUGAAAUGCGUAGAUAUGCGGAGGAACACCGAUGGCGAAGGCAAUCCCCUGGGCCUGCACUGACGCUCAUGCACGAAAGCGUGGGGAGCAAACAGG
This 424-nucleotide ribosomal RNA is filed under the name uncultured bacterium. RNAcentral describes it as "partial 16S ribosomal RNA". It matches the Rfam family "Bacterial small subunit ribosomal RNA", at positions 360 to 776 of the family's 1533-position model. The record is from RNAcentral.